Molecule: ribosomal RNA, 254 nt
Filed under: uncultured bacterium
Lineage: Bacteria
Description: partial 16S ribosomal RNA
Rfam family: Bacterial small subunit ribosomal RNA
Source: RNAcentral
UACGUAGGGAGCAAGCGUUGUCCGGAAUCAUUGGGCGUAAAGCGCGCGUAGGUGGCUUCGUAAGUCCGUUGUGAAAGUCAAAGGCUCAACCUUUGAAUGCCGAUGGAUACUGCGGAGCUAGAGUACGGAAGAGGCGAGUGGAAUUCCUGGUGUAGCGGUGGAAUGCGUAGAUAUCUGGAGGAACACCGGUGGCGAAGGCGACAUCCUGGACCGACACUGACGCUGAGGGAGCGAAAGCCAGGGAGCAAGCGGGA